UACUUGAAUUGUCCUGAGACAGGUUGCCA
This 29-nucleotide non-coding RNA is filed under the name Homo sapiens (human). Lineage: Eukaryota; Metazoa; Chordata; Mammalia; Primates; Hominidae. The record is from RNAcentral.